Molecule: ribosomal RNA, 460 nt
Filed under: uncultured bacterium
Lineage: Bacteria
Description: partial 16S ribosomal RNA
Rfam family: Bacterial small subunit ribosomal RNA
Source: RNAcentral
CCUACGGGAGGCAGCAGUGAGGAAUAUUGGUCAAUGGACGAGAGUCUGAACCAGCCAAGUAGCGUGAAGGAUGACUGCCCUAUGGGUUGUAAACUUCUUUUAUAAAGGAAUAAAACGAGGCACGUGUGCCUUUUUGCAUGUACUUUAUGAAUAAGGAUCGGCUAACUCCGUGCCAGCAGCCGCGGUAAUACGGAGGAUCCGAGCGUUAUCCGGAUUUAUUGGGUUUAAAGGGAGCGUAGAUGGGUUGUUAAGUCAGAUGUGAAAGUUUGUGGCUCAACCAUAAAAUUGCGAUUGAAACUGGCGGUCUUGAGUACAGUUGAGGCAGGCGGAAUUCGUGGUGUAGCGGUGAAAUGCUUAGAUAUCACGAAGAACCCCGAUUGCGAAGGCAGCUUACUAAACUGUGACUGACGCUGAUGCUCGAAAGUGUGGGUAUCGAACAGGAUUAGAUACCCCUGUAGUC